UUUUGUUAAAAGCAAUUCACUCACUUUGAAAUUGAUACCACAAACUACGAGGUUUUGAUCCCUCAUUUUUAUGUUGGUACGUAGGCACAAGUUCGAAGGUCUUGUGAAAGACAAAUAUAUAAUUGAUUCCUUUCUCAUCCCCACAUUCUACUUAUUGCAAACAUCAUUUUAUACCAAAACACAUACACACAGAAAAUAGGGCUCCCUAGGAGUACCUAGGACACUUUGGGUGAU
This 234-nucleotide long non-coding RNA is filed under the name Lathyrus oleraceus (garden pea). Its description in RNAcentral is "Pisum sativum (pea) long non-coding RNA (PSAT_LNC011967)". The record is from RNAcentral. Lineage: Eukaryota; Viridiplantae; Streptophyta; Magnoliopsida; Fabales; Fabaceae.